AUGGGGAACGAACACCACAGUAUAAACAUUUGUUGUUCCAAGAAUGAUUGGAUUUUACAACACAAACUACUGUAUUUACACAGUAUACAUCAUCAGAUCCAAAACAAAACUAUAUUUCACAAGCCAAACGGAUUACACUUCAGUACAGUACAUGAGUUCGAUCUGGAUGCCGCGCCUCCCUUCAACCAUACCGUGUGCCCCUGCUCACCGGAGCAGCAGCAACCAGUAGCCACACCCCUUCUCCUUCCUUCCUCCAUGGAUAGGAGCACACCAACACCACCAUGGACUCCCGAGAGGAGCUCAAGCCGUCCGCCGCCAAGGCGGAGCUCGCCACCCUCGUCCGGGCGCUGGAUCCGGUCGUGA
This 363-nucleotide ribosomal RNA is filed under the name Triticum aestivum (bread wheat). Its description in RNAcentral is "partial small subunit ribosomal RNA". The record is from RNAcentral. Lineage: Eukaryota; Viridiplantae; Streptophyta; Magnoliopsida; Poales; Poaceae.